RNAcentral lists this ribosomal RNA (738 nucleotides) under Ganoderma lucidum. RNAcentral's name for it is "eukaryotic LSU rRNA". It matches the Rfam family "Eukaryotic large subunit ribosomal RNA", at positions 142 to 869 of the family's 3401-position model. Lineage: Eukaryota; Fungi; Basidiomycota; Agaricomycetes; Polyporales; Polyporaceae. The record is from RNAcentral.
GUUGUAGUCUGGAGAAGUGCUUUCCGCGCUGGACCGUGUAUAAGUCUCUUGGAACAGAGCGUCAUAGAGGGUGAGAAUCCCGUCUUUGACACGGACUACCAGUGCUUUGUGAUGCGCUCUCAAAGAGUCGAGUUGUUUGGGAAUGCAGCUCAAAAUGGGUGGUGAAUUCCAUCUAAAGCUAAAUAUUGGCGAGAGACCGAUAGCGAACAAGUACCGUGAGGGAAAGAUGAAAAGCACUUUGGAAAGAGAGUUAAACAGUACGUGAAAUUGCUGAAAGGGAAACGCUUGAAGUCAGUCGCGUUGUCCGGAACUCAGCCUUGCUUUUGCUUGGUGCACUUUCCGGAUGACGGGUCAGCAUCGAUUUUGACCGUCGGAAAAGGGCUGGAGUAAUGUGGCACCUCCGGGUGUGUUAUAGACUCUGGUCGCAUACGACGGUUGGGAUCGAGGAACGCAGCGCGCCGCAAGGCAGGGGUUCGCCCACUUUCGCGCUUAGGAUGCUGGCAUAAUGGCUUUAAACGACCCGUCUUGAAACACGGACCAAGGAGUCUAACAUACCUGCGAGUGUUUGGGUGGAAAACCCGAGCGCGUAAUGAAAGUGAAAGUUGAGAUCCCUGUCGUGGGGAGCACCGACGCCCGGACCUGACGUUCUCUGACGGAUCCGCGGUAGAGCAUGUAUGUUGGGACCCGAAAGAUGGUGAACUAUGCCUGAAUAGGGUGAAGCCAGAGGAAACUCUGGUG